ACAAUGUUUUAAUAUUAUUUAUGACAAUUGUGAUAAUUGUAAAUUAUACAUUUAACUCACCUCUUACCUCAAAUGUAGCAGUUCUUUAGUGACUUCUUCCGUGAUUUCCAAUUUAGCCUAUAAUUAUAGAGCAGAGACAUUUAGUUGCUUGUUAGCUGGUUUAAGGUGUCUCUCUGCUGGCUGUUACAGAAUGUAAACUUUAAAUAUGAAGCCUUUAUAAGAUGUUAAGACUGUUUUAUAUUUAGUGUUUUUGUUUAGGGUAGGGAACAAGCAUGUAAAUGAUGUUUUAUUAGUGUUUGUUAUUUUCUCUUAGUAGAGUCAACAGUCAAUAGGUAAGUUACAACUGCCCCAAAACAUGGGCAUUUUUGGCAAUAACAAAAUUAGAAAACAAAUUAACUUACUUUACCAUUUUCUUCUUCUUCAGUUUCUUCUGAAGACAAAAGACUGCUGUUAUUUAGUUAGCAUUAGUUAAGCUAGGUUAACUCUCAGCUGUUUCUGUUCCCUCUUCAACCUAUAUAACCUAUAGUCUGUAUCAUCUCUACAACCUACUAAAAAAUAAUAAUAAAAAAAAACAUAAACCAUAUUGCAGUAGGCUUUCAUGUGAAGAUGAAAGCACACGUGCAGUCUCUGAAGAUGACUGCUGGAGAAGAUGCAGAACAAGAAGAACCAAACAAUCAUGGGUAAAAUAUUCAGCUAUUUUUGCUGCCAUAAUCAUCACUGAUUCCUUUUUAUUCCUCCUCUGUAGCAGCGUGUUUGCUAAGAGGCCACGGCGGACCCGUGAUGCUGCUCAUUAUACCAGCCUCCACAGUACAAGCCAGCAAACUGACCGCUAAAUGAUGCUCGUCGGUCAGUAUGGGGUAUGACCAGGGCUCUUGUAGUGGAGCUAAUGAUCACUGCCCCCAUGCUUCAAGCUGAAGGUGGCGGUUUAAAGGGUUUAUAUCAUGAGAAAAAAAAUAUUUGCCCUUUAUUUAUUUAAGUAAAAGAGUUAGGAUGGGGUGUGUAAACACUGUUACAGUGUUAACAUUUAUAAUUAUUCCCACAGAUCAUGUAAUUCAACAGCAGGAGGACUGCAUUGAGAGAUUGCAGCACAACCUGGAGAUAUUGAGGAAGUUGUAUGAUUCAAGCAGGAUUGGUUUCUGAAUAAGGUACAGUAAAUAAAUAAAUGAAUUAACCAUGUUUCA
RNAcentral lists this long non-coding RNA (1181 nucleotides) under Astyanax mexicanus (Mexican tetra). RNAcentral's name for it is "lncRNA (ENSAMXG00005022431.1)". Lineage: Eukaryota; Metazoa; Chordata; Actinopteri; Characiformes; Acestrorhamphidae. The record is from RNAcentral.